GUAUUUUUAUUAUUUUUUAAAUUAUUAUUUGACUUAUUAUUUUUAACUAUAAAUAAAAAUAAUUCAUACGGAAAUUCACGUAACUUUGUAGAUUUAAUGAUUUAAUAAUUUCAAAUGACGGAUGCACUUGUUCUUAUAUAUAUCAAGAUCAUGAGGAUUGUCAGCAUCAUUUGUUGAUAAACAUUCGUUACACAAUGAAGUUAUUAAAUAUUAAUUUUGCAGUUCUUUUAUUCAUUGGCCUGAUUGUGAGAAUAUUUAACUAAUUUUUGUCAAUUAAUUUACUAACUAUUGAUAAUUAUUUUAAAUUAGAUGGCUUUUUCAUCUGCACAAGAAGAAACAACAACAACAGCAACUGGUAUGGGUCCUUGUCGUCCCCAUGGACGUAGAGGUGGUCAUGGUGGACCACGAGGACGUGGACCACCACCACCACCAACACAGAAUGGUGGUGAUUCUACUCCAGAAGUCGAAGGUUCUUCUAAGUAAUUACUACUGAAACAUUUAUAAUAAAAAAAAUAAAUACACCAUAGAAUUUUG
Aphidius gifuensis is the source of this 534-nucleotide long non-coding RNA. RefSeq lists it as uncharacterized. The record is from RefSeq and is a predicted model, not a curated record. NCBI's taxonomy places the organism in Eukaryota, Metazoa, Arthropoda, Insecta, Hymenoptera, Braconidae. The transcript is spliced from 2 exons.